Lutra lutra (Eurasian river otter) is the source of this 328-nucleotide long non-coding RNA. RefSeq lists it as uncharacterized. NCBI's taxonomy places the organism in Eukaryota, Metazoa, Chordata, Mammalia, Carnivora, Mustelidae. The record is from RefSeq and is a predicted model, not a curated record. The transcript has 3 exons.
AAGAAUGGGUACAAAUGACAACUAUGACCUAACCCCAUACAAGUUACUGUGGGAACAGGGUAAUUUCCUAGAAGCUGAAUGGCUAGAUCAUAUAGCAGGUGUGGUGAAAUGGCAUUAUAUUGGAAGAAGAUGCCAUCUAGGACUUUCAUGUGCUGGGAAAUCCUUUGUGAGAAGAUGAGUCAAUCAACAUGGCGAACUUCACUGUUGCCUUAUUUUAAGAAAUGGCCACAGCCACCCCAGCCUUCAGCAACUACGACCCUGAUUAGUAGACAACCAUCAACAUCAAGUCAAGACCCUCCACCAACAAAAAAGAUUAUGACUUGCUGAA